This 1222-nucleotide unclassified non-coding RNA is filed under the name Hevea brasiliensis (rubber tree). Lineage: Eukaryota; Viridiplantae; Streptophyta; Magnoliopsida; Malpighiales; Euphorbiaceae. The record is from RNAcentral.
GGAAUAUUGAUUCUUCAAGAAAGUUCAAUUUCCUGACGUGCGGCAUGCAAUUGCAAAAUUGUUGUGGAAGCUGAUCUUUUAUCCAAUCAGCAAAUUGGAAUGGAAAAUUACUAUGGUACAAAAUCUCCCAAAAAAGAAAUGUGUCAAUGGUAACUCCGAAUCGAAAUUUUUGCUUGGGGGCCACCUUGAACGUAAACAAAGCUGUACUCUGAGGAAGGUUCCAAGACUUUGAGUCGUUGAGGAAGCUCAUAAGUGUUCUUUUCUGGCGUUGGAGAGAGACCCCAAAGAGGCCCUGAAAGGUCCUCUAUCACCAACUUUAGGUCUGUAAUUGGCUUCUGGGAUAUGUUCUUGAUUAUUACCUUGUGGCGAUAAUACGUUGACGUUCCAACAGCCCAUGUGUUAGUUAUGGUGUGAAGGAAUUCCGCUGGGACCCCUGGUGUCGUUGUAUGGCGAACUGGUGAUUCUUCAUGAUAGUAUCCUGUUGCUCCUCCAUAUACACUAUGAAGCUUGGAGAAGAGGCCAACAAGAGGAGCAUUGCCAGAAAGUGUAGGUUCAGUUUGUUCAUAGUUAGAACGGUCAUCAGAGAAGUUAUCAUUCUGAUCAGGACCUCCGACGAGGGCUCCAAAUAUGCAAUUAGGAUUUCCCUCCGAACGACGAUACCAUGUUUCGAAUCCUUGCACGCAUUCAACAACGGAGUGGAGAGCAAAUAUAGAGGCAAUGGAAGAAUCCCUGUGGUGAACAUGGAUUGGAUAUUUUGUUCCAUAUCCAACCAAGUAGCUUAUGGUUUUGGGGUUUUUACCAAGAAUGUAAUCAGCCUGCGAUUUGGCAAAAUUGAGGAGCUCCUGAGGUGGGAUCUGCCCUUCUGGACAACUAAGCUUGGCAUUUGCAGCUGAAAGAUAAUCAGAGUAGAUGGAAAGAAGAAGUGCCGCAGCAGAGGCAUACUGCAAGUUGUUCCAUUCUCGAACGUACAUUAAACCCCCAGGAGUUGUCUGGAUGUCGUAGCCGUCAUUCUUUUUCAGACAAGCACAUGCAAAGCAAUCUGCUUUGGCUUGAUAUUGCUUUAGGGUGGCAGUGUAUGCGCCACCACGUCCUUCUAGCAGUAUCUGCACCCAGUGUUCAAUUUUGUGUCACAGGUUUAGAAUAUUUUUGUUAAUAAGGAAUUGUUCUACUGAAAUUUUCCUUGUUGGAAGAAGGAACAAGGCCAAGGGAGGAUACAAAUCAA